AGCCUGUAGCCAAUCACCUGAGGAAGCACCAUACUGAUUGGCUGACCCAGCAUGACAGCUUCUGCUUCAAUACCACCGACACCUGCAAUGAACGGCAUGACCAGAAGAAUGCCUUCAUUACUCCUUACUCUAUCUCUCAGAAAAAGUCUGCUGAUCCCUGCCUGAGUGAAUGAGUGUCUAUUUAUGUGUGUAUAUGUUCGAGAAGAGCAAAAGAGGGAGAGAAAGGAGGGACCCCGGGAUAGCAGAACAAGGCAGGACACCUGCACUGACACUGGCAUCAGCAGACUCUGUGGACCCUCUGGACGAGACACAGCUACUCCUCAAGGCUUCAGGAUCCAGAUCAAGUGACACUCCUUGAAAAACCCACAGACUCCCCAGGUCAGGAUGAUUUGCCCCUUCUCCGUGGUGACUACACUUAUCAACUGCAUGAAAGCUGUGUGUUCACUAAUUUCUCUCCCCUUCUAAACUAUAAUCUGUUUCUGGAAUAAAUACUGGCACAUAAUAGAUCUGCUAAAUGGAUUUAAUUUUUUUAAAAAAGGAAAGCAUCUCUGACCUUGAUUUCUACCACUACAGGUAAGAUUACAACCACAUGUGGCCCCUGCCUCU
Pongo pygmaeus (Bornean orangutan) is the source of this 606-nucleotide long non-coding RNA. RefSeq lists it as uncharacterized. The record is from RefSeq and is a predicted model, not a curated record. NCBI's taxonomy places the organism in Eukaryota, Metazoa, Chordata, Mammalia, Primates, Hominidae. The transcript has 3 exons.